Molecule: unclassified non-coding RNA, 310 nt
Filed under: Hevea brasiliensis (rubber tree)
Lineage: Eukaryota; Viridiplantae; Streptophyta; Magnoliopsida; Malpighiales; Euphorbiaceae
Source: RNAcentral
UGAGACUUCUCAGGGAUUUCUUCUUCAUCUUCAGAAGAGCUUUCGACCAGGUCAUCAGGGACAUCAUUAGGAACAUUAUGUGUGGUGAUGAAUUCCUUCAAUAUGCUCAUGCUUUUCUCUUUCAUAGAAACCAAUUCCUCUGAGAUGGUACUACCGUUGCUUGCAUCAACAGUGUAUAUUUCCGACCCAAGUUUAAGUGUGGCUUUAACAUGAGGCCCACAUGUAAUUGCAUCAUGUGCUUGAGCCUCCAUCACCUUUCCAAAUCAGGGAUAUCUCGGGGAACCAAACUCGAGGUAGAGGAGCUCCGGAC